GAUCAGAUACCGUCGUAGUCUUAACCAUAAACUAUGCCGACCAGGGAUUGGAAGAUGUCUUAUCCAAUGUAACAGUUGGAAAACUCCUUCAGUACCUUACGAGAAAUCAUAAGUCUUUGGGUUCUGGGGGGAGUAUGGUCGCAAGGCUGAAACUUAAAGGAAUUGACGGAAGGGCACCACCAGGAGUGGAGCCUGCGGCUUAAUUUGACUCAACACGGGAAAACUUACCAGGUCCAGACACAGUUAGGAUUGACAGAUUGAGAGUUCUUUCUUGAUUCUGUGGGUGGUGGUGCAUGGCCGUUCUUAGUUGGUGGAGUGAUUUGUCUGGUUAAUUCCGAUAACGAACGAGACCUCAGCUUAUUAAUUAGUUAUGCAAAUGAUUACAUCCAUUUGAUUGGGAAGGGUUUCUAAUGUAAGCUUGGGGUUUGACUCUGAGAUUGAUUAGAAAAACUUGUUUUUAUUUGUUAGAAUUUGAUUUAUCAAAUUUGUUAAUAACUUCUUAGAGGGACACUUGGUGUUUAACCAAGGGAAGUCUGAGGCAAUAACAGGUCUGUGAUGCCCUUUAGAUGUUCUGGGCUGCACGCGCGCUACACUGAUACGAACAACGAGUACUGAAGCCCUCAUUCGAAAGGAUGGGGUAAACUUAUGAAAUCGUAUCGUGCUGGGGAUCGAUAAUUGCAAUUAUUUAUCGUGAACGAGGAAUUCCUAGUAAGCGCAAGUCAACAGCUUGCGCUGAUUACGUCCCUGCCCUUUGUACACACCGCCUGUCGCUCCUACCGAUGUUUGGUCCGGUGAAAUCUUAGGAUUCGUAACAUACACUUAUUAUCACUCUUGGGUGAAAAUGAGUUUGUUGUGGAGAAUUUGAGUAAACCUUGCCAAAUAGAGGAAGGAGAAGUCGUAACAAGGUAUUCGUAGGUGAACCUGCAGAAGGAUCAAAUCG
RNAcentral lists this ribosomal RNA (940 nucleotides) under Paramoeba perurans. RNAcentral describes it as "bacterial SSU rRNA". It matches the Rfam family "Eukaryotic small subunit ribosomal RNA", at positions 1006 to 1831 of the family's 1831-position model. Lineage: Eukaryota; Discosea; Flabellinia; Dactylopodida; Paramoebidae. The record is from RNAcentral.